Molecule: transfer RNA, 85 nt
Filed under: Deltaproteobacteria bacterium
Lineage: Bacteria; Pseudomonadati; Myxococcota; Myxococcia
Also listed under: 3 other names
Description: tRNA-Tyr
Rfam family: tRNA
About the family: Transfer RNA (tRNA) molecules are approximately 80 nucleotides in length.
Source: RNAcentral
GGAGGGGUUCCCGAGCGGCCAAAGGGAACAGACUGUAAAUCUGUCGGCCAUGCCUUCGGAGGUUCGAAUCCUCCCCCCUCCACCA